RNAcentral lists this non-coding RNA (31 nucleotides) under Rattus norvegicus (Norway rat). The record is from RNAcentral. Lineage: Eukaryota; Metazoa; Chordata; Mammalia; Rodentia; Muridae.
UGUUACCCAUCAGGCUACCUCUUGAGUCUCU